Molecule: long non-coding RNA, 291 nt
Organism: Centruroides sculpturatus (bark scorpion)
Lineage: Eukaryota; Metazoa; Arthropoda; Arachnida; Scorpiones; Buthidae
Exons: 3
Source: RefSeq, a predicted model, not a curated record
UUUGGUUUUACAAUCAUUUACGUUAUUCAAUGUCUAUAUAAACGUGCAACAAGUUAUAGAAAACACGAUUUCAUUUAUAGCGGACUAACGAAGGGGGUGAGAACAAAUAUGCAUCCACUGUUAACUAAUAAUAAAAUUUAUUCUGAAAAUCGGCAUUCUAAUUAAUAGCAGGAUCAAAUAUUCAUCAAGCUUAACACGUGGAAAAUAUAUUUACCUUUAAUUGUUUAUGUUAAUCAAGAUGUUAAUUUUUGAUAAUGUAAUCGAUUAAUAAAUAAUCUCUGUUUUUUCUGA